UAGUUUUUAGUUAUAUAGUAUUAUAAUUUAAUAGUAAUUGCACAUAAUAUGUAAUGCACGAUAAUAAUCUGUAAUUAAUUAUAUAUAAUAAUUGUAAACGUGCACAAUAUAGCUUUCAUAUAAUUUGUAAUGUAAUAAGUAUAACAUUAGGUAAAUAUAAAUAUUUUAGGGGCAUACACCGUUUGAACCAGAUCUGAAGUAUAGAAUAUACGUCAAGUAGGCCUAUAUUUCAAAUCUGUGUUCAUCAUCUGAUUAUAUAUUGAUGGCUUGUUGCUUAAUUAUAAAUUCGCCCAUUUACGAAUUGCCUCACGAAUGCCUUUAUUCUUAUCAAGAGAGACUGAAUGAUUGACGUCAUUCCAUAAUAAUUUAAUUUUUGACUGACAACUGACACGUUAUCUAAAAGCUUCACUGCAUGACAAACAGCACUUUGCCACUGCAGGCAGUUUGUGAAAAUUUUACAGACAGCUAGGACAAGUGUGGUGUAUAUAGGCCUAUAGACCACGUAUUUCUUCAAAAAAAACUUCCUAAAGGCCGAUUUACACUACGCAACUUUACCUGUGCUUGAUUUACACAGAACAACUAAAGUUGUAAGCAGGUUGUAUGCGACAGUUUUAGUAGAAAUUGUAUAUAGUGUAAAUCGGCUUUAAAGUCCAAAUCAAGUCCUUCUAUCAACUGUUAUAUAAUUGUUGAGGUAACAAUAAAAUUCAGGCUCCCAGAGAGGUACUCGUGACAUAACCAAAAUGUUUUGUGUGAAAGCACGGUGUAAUGCGUCCUGAAAUGUAAUUUUUCACAUAUGUGUACAUUGAUAUAAUGUAAGCACAUCAUUUAAAUAUAAUUUUUAGAUAAUAUUAAAGUGUGUAAUUCGAAAUGAAAAGUCUGUGUGAGACAAAAAUUAAAAAAU
This is a non-coding RNA of Paramuricea clavata, 901 nucleotides long. NCBI's taxonomy places the organism in Eukaryota, Metazoa, Cnidaria, Anthozoa, Malacalcyonacea, Plexauridae. The record is from the annotation of a GenBank genome assembly.